This 253-nucleotide ribosomal RNA is filed under the name uncultured bacterium. Its description in RNAcentral is "partial 16S ribosomal RNA". It matches the Rfam family "Bacterial small subunit ribosomal RNA", at positions 524 to 776 of the family's 1533-position model. The record is from RNAcentral.
UACGGGGGGUGCAAGCGUUGUUCGGAUUUACUGGGCGUAAAGGGCGCGUAGGCGGCGCGACAAGUCACUUGUGAAAUCUCCGGGCUUAACCCGGAGCGGCCAAGUGAUACUGGAGUGCUAGAGUGCGGAAGGGGCUACUGGAAUUCUCGGUGUAGCGGUGAAAUGCGUAGAUAUCGAGAGGAACACCUGCGGCGAAGGCGGGUAGCUGGGCCGACACUGACGCUGAGGCGCGAAAGCCAGGGGAGCGAACGGG